ACCUGGCUGGUUCAGCUGGUAGAGCACGUGAUUCUUGAUCUCAGGGUUGUGAGUUCAAGCCCCAUGUUAGGUG
Molecule: transfer RNA, 73 nt
Filed under: Mustela putorius furo (domestic ferret)
Lineage: Eukaryota; Metazoa; Chordata; Mammalia; Carnivora; Mustelidae
Rfam family: tRNA
About the family: Transfer RNA (tRNA) molecules are approximately 80 nucleotides in length. Their secondary structure includes four short double-helical elements and three loops (D, anti-codon, and T loops).
Source: Rfam by way of RNAcentral